This 117-nucleotide non-coding RNA is filed under the name Chlorocebus sabaeus (green monkey). The record is from Rfam by way of RNAcentral. Lineage: Eukaryota; Metazoa; Chordata; Mammalia; Primates; Cercopithecidae.
GCCGGGCGUGGUGGCUCACACCUGUAAUCCCAGCACUUUGGGAGGCCGAGGCGGGUGGAUCACCUGAGGUCAGGAGUUUGAGACCAGCCUGGCCAACAUGGUGAAACCCCGUCUCUA